This 497-nucleotide ribosomal RNA is filed under the name uncultured bacterium. RNAcentral's name for it is "partial 16S ribosomal RNA". It matches the Rfam family "Bacterial small subunit ribosomal RNA", at positions 28 to 507 of the family's 1533-position model. The record is from RNAcentral.
GAUGAACGCUGGCGGCGUGCCUAAUACAUGCAAGUCGAGCGAACAGACGAGGAGCUUGCUCCUCUGACGUUAUCGGCGGACGGGUGAGUACCACGUGGAUAACCUACCUAUAAGACUGGGAUAACUUCGGGAAACCGGAGCUAAUACCGGAUAAUAUAUUGAACCGCAUUGUUCAAUAGUGAAAGACGGUUUUGCUGUCACUUAUAGAUGGAUCCGCGCCGCAUUAGCUAGUUGGUAAGGUAACGGCUUACCAAGGCAACGAUGCGUAGCCGACCUGAGAGGGUGAUCGGCCACACUGGAACAGAGACACGGUCCAGACUCCUACGGGAGGCAGCAGUAGGGAAUCUUCCGCAAUGGGCGAGAGCCUGACGGAGCAACGCCGCGUGAGUGAUGAAGGUCUUCGGAUCGUAAAACUCUGUUAUUAGGGAAGAACAAAUGUGUAAGUAACUAUGCACAUAUUGACGGUACCUAAUCAGAAAGCCACGGCUAACUACGUG